UUAAAAAGCUCGUAGUUGGAUUUCUGUUGAGGACGGCCGGUCCGCACUAUGUGCGUGUAUCUGGUUCGGCCUCGGCAUCCUCUCGAAAGCCGUUUCUGCGCUUGAUUGCGUGGUUCGGACUUCGGGACUUUUACUUUGAGGAAAUUAGAGUGUUCACGGCAGGCAAGCGCCUUGAAUAUAUUAGCAUGGAAUAAUAAUAUAGGAUCUUGGUCCUAUUUUGUUGGUUUCUAGGGCUAAGAUAAUGAUUAAUAGGGACAAUUGGGGGCAUUCGUAUUAACGCGUCAGAGGUGGAAUUCUUGGAUUGCGUUACGACGAACUACUGCGAAAGCAUUUGCCAAGGAUGUUUUCAUUGAUCAAGAACGAAAGUAAGGGGAUCGAAGAUGAUUAGAUACCGUCGUAGUCCUUACCAUAAACUAUGCCAACUAGAGAUGGGGCUGCGGUUUAUUUAUGACCCGCUCCGCACCUUAUGAGAAAUCAAAGUUUUUGGGUUCCGGGGGGAGUAUGGUCGCAAGGCUGAAACUUAAAGGAAUUGACGGAAGGGCACCACCAGGAGUGGAGCCUGCGGCUUAAUUUGACUCAACACGGGAAAACUCACCAGGUCCAGACAUAGUAAGGACUGACAGAUUGAUAGCUCUU
Molecule: ribosomal RNA, 636 nt
Filed under: uncultured marine eukaryote
Lineage: Eukaryota
Description: SSU rRNA
Rfam family: Eukaryotic small subunit ribosomal RNA
Source: RNAcentral